GACUUAUUUGGUGUGGUUACUAUGCAGUCGAGCGGCAGCGGAAAGUAGCUUGCUACUUUGCCGGCGAGCGGCGGACGGGUGAGUAAUGUCUGGGAAACUGCCUGAUGGAGGGGGAUAACUACUGGAAACGGUAGCUAAUACCGCAUAACGUCGCAAGACCAAAGAGGGGGACCUUCGGGCCUCUUGCCAUCAGAUGUGCCCAGAUGGGAUUAGCUAGUAGGUGGGGUAACGGCUCACCUAGGCGACGAUCCCUAGCUGGUCUGAGAGGAUGACCAGCCACACUGGAACUGAGACACGGUCCAGACUCCUACGGGAGGCAGCAGUGGGGAAUAUUGCACAAUGGGCGCAAGCCUGAUGCAGCCAUGCCGCGUGUAUGAAGAAGGCCUUCGGGUUGUAAAGUACUUUCAGCGGGGAGGAAGGCGUUGAGGUUAAUAACCUCAGCGAUUGACGUUACCCGCAGAAGAAGCACCGGCUAACUCCGUGCCAGCAGCCGCGGUAAUACGGAGGGUGCAAGCGUUAAUCGGAAUUACUGGGCGUAAAGCGCACGCAGGCGGUCUGUCAAGUCGGAUGUGAAAUCCCCGGGCUCAACCUGGGAACUGCAUUCGAAACUGGCAGGCUAGAGUCUUGUAGAGGGGGGUAGAAUUCCAGGUGUAGCGGUGAAAUGCGUAGAGAUCUGGAGGAAUACCGGUGGCGAAGGCGGCCCCCUGGACAAAGACUGACGCUCAGGUGCGAAAGCGUGGGGAGCAAACAGGAUUAGAUACCCUGGUAGUCCACGCCGUAAACGAUGUCGACUUGGAGGUUGUGCCCUUGAGGCGUGGCUUCCGGAGCUAACGCGUUAAGUCGACCGCCUGGGGAGUACGGCCGCAAGGUUAAAACUCAAAUGAAUUGACGGGGGCCCGCACAAGCGGUGGAGCAUGGGGUUUAAUUCGAUGCAACGCGAAGAACCUUACCUACUCUUGACAUCCAGAGAACUUAGCAGAGAUGCUUUGGUGCCUUCGGGACUCUGAGACAGUGCCUGCAUGGCUGUCGUCAGCUCGUGUUGGUGAAAUGGUUGGGUUAAGUCCCGCACGAGCGCACCCUUAUCCUUUGUGCCAGCGUCCGGCGGUACUCAAGAGACUGCAGUGAUAACUUGGAAGAGAAGGUGGGAAUGACGUCAGUCAUCAUGCUACAGUAGGCUACCACGUGCUACAUGCCACAGGAAUCGACUCGCGAGACAGCGGAACUCAAUAAGGUGCGCUCUUAAUUUCG
This 1248-nucleotide ribosomal RNA is filed under the name Enterobacter kobei. RNAcentral's name for it is "bacterial SSU rRNA". It matches the Rfam family "Bacterial small subunit ribosomal RNA", at positions 32 to 1296 of the family's 1533-position model. The record is from RNAcentral. Lineage: Bacteria; Pseudomonadati; Pseudomonadota; Gammaproteobacteria; Enterobacterales; Enterobacteriaceae.